Molecule: ribosomal RNA, 275 nt
Filed under: uncultured Mycobacterium sp.
Lineage: Bacteria; Bacillati; Actinomycetota; Actinomycetes; Mycobacteriales; Mycobacteriaceae
Description: partial 16S ribosomal RNA
Rfam family: Bacterial small subunit ribosomal RNA
Source: RNAcentral
CCUACGGGUGGCUGCAGUGGGGAAUAUUGCACAAUGGGCGCAAGCCUGAUGCAGCGACGCCGCGUGGGGGAUGACGGCCUUCGGGUUGUAAACCUCUUUCACCAUCGACGAAGGUCCGGGUUUUCUCGGAUUGACGGUAGGUGGAGAAGAAGCACCGGCCAACUACGUGCCAGCAGCCGCGGUAAUACGUAGGGUGCGAGCGUUGUCCGGAAUUACUGGGCGUAAAGAGCUCGUAGGUGGUUUGUCGCGUUGUUCGUGAAAUCUCACGGCUUAAC